RNAcentral lists this transfer RNA (84 nucleotides) under bacterium. RNAcentral describes it as "tRNA-Leu". It matches the Rfam family "tRNA". Rfam says of the family: Transfer RNA (tRNA) molecules are approximately 80 nucleotides in length. Their secondary structure includes four short double-helical elements and three loops (D, anti-codon, and T loops). Further hydrogen bonds mediate the characteristic L-shaped molecular structure. tRNAs have two regions of fundamental functional importance: the anti-codon, which is responsible for specific mRNA codon recognition, and the 3' end, to which the tRNAs corresponding amino acid is attached (by aminoacyl-tRNA synthetases). tRNAs cope with the degeneracy of the genetic code in two manners: having more than one tRNA (with a specific anti-codon) for a particular amino acid; and 'wobble' base-pairing, i.e. permitting non-standard base-pairing at the 3rd anti-codon position. The record is from RNAcentral.
GCGGACGUGGCGGAACUGGUAGACGCGAUAGGUUUAGGACCUAUUACUUGCAAAAGUGUGAAGGUUCGAGUCCUUUCGUCCGCA